UACGUAGGUCCCGAGCGUUGCCCGGAUUUACUGGGCGUAAAGGGAGCGUAGGCGGACUUUUAAGUGAGAUGUGAAAUACUCGGGCUCAACUUGAGUGCUGCAUUUCAAACUGGAAGUCUAGAGUGCAGGAGAGGAGAAUGGAAUUCCUAGUGUAGCGGUGAAAUGCGUAGAGAUUAGGAAGAACACCAGUGGCGAAGGCGAUUCUCUGGACUGUAACUGACGCUGAGGCUCGAAAGCGUGGGGAGCAAACAGG
Molecule: ribosomal RNA, 253 nt
Filed under: uncultured bacterium
Lineage: Bacteria
Description: partial 16S ribosomal RNA
Rfam family: Bacterial small subunit ribosomal RNA
Source: RNAcentral